UUGGACCUGAUAUCAGGUAGGAUUACCCGCGAACUAA
RNAcentral lists this ribosomal RNA (37 nucleotides) under Pythium aphanidermatum. RNAcentral's name for it is "partial 28S ribosomal RNA". The record is from RNAcentral. Lineage: Eukaryota; Oomycota; Peronosporomycetes; Pythiales; Pythiaceae.